RNAcentral lists this ribosomal RNA (338 nucleotides) under uncultured bacterium. RNAcentral describes it as "bacterial SSU rRNA". It matches the Rfam family "Bacterial small subunit ribosomal RNA", at positions 28 to 368 of the family's 1533-position model. The record is from RNAcentral.
GAUGAACGCUAGCGGCAGGCUUAACACAUGCAAGUCGAGGGGUAUAGUAGCAAUACUAGAGACCGGCGCACGGGUGCGUAACGCGUAUGCAAUCUACCUUUCACAGAGGGAUAGCCCGGAGAAAUUUUGGAUUAAUACCUCAUAGUAUGUAUGAAUGGCAUCAUUUAUAUAUUAAAGUCACAACGGUGAAAGAUGAGCAUGCGUCCCAUUAGCUUGUUGGUAAGGUAACGGCUUACCAAGGCAACGAUGGGUAGGGGUCCUGAGAGGGAGAUCCCCCACACUGGUACUGAGACACGGACCAGACUUCCUACGGGAGGCAGCAGUUGAGGAAUAUUGGA